This is a small nucleolar RNA of Hyla sarda, 66 nucleotides long. Lineage: Eukaryota; Metazoa; Chordata; Amphibia; Anura; Hylidae. The record is from RefSeq and is a predicted model, not a curated record.
CUGCGAUGAUGAGUCAAACUAGCUCACUAUGAUAACACAAUGAAAAGGAAUGAACUCCUGAGCAGU